UACGAAGGGGGCUAGCGUUGCUCGGAAUCACUGGGCGUAAAGGGUGCGUAGGCGGGUCUUUUAAGUCAGGGGUGAAAUCCUGGAGCUCAACUCCAGAACUGCCUUUGAUACUGAAGAUCUUGAGUUCGGGAGAGGUGAGUGGAACUGCGAGUGUAGAGGUGAAAUUCGUAGAUAUUCGCAAGAACACCGGUGGCGAAGGCGGCUCUCUGGACCGAGACUGACGCUGAGGCGCGAAAGCGUGGGGAGCAAACAGGG
RNAcentral lists this ribosomal RNA (255 nucleotides) under uncultured bacterium. Its description in RNAcentral is "partial 16S ribosomal RNA". It matches the Rfam family "Bacterial small subunit ribosomal RNA", at positions 524 to 777 of the family's 1533-position model. The record is from RNAcentral.